Molecule: long non-coding RNA, 339 nt
Filed under: Mytilus galloprovincialis (Mediterranean mussel)
Lineage: Eukaryota; Metazoa; Mollusca; Bivalvia; Mytilida; Mytilidae
Source: RNAcentral
UCGUACUUGGUGACAAAGUUGCAAAUCGAUACCGUCUUUUAAUUGAAUAGCUACUAUAGGAUUUCCGAAUUCAUAAGUCGAAAAGAAAUGAACACACACAACAGUUAAGACAUGGUUAAAACCACACAAAAGCAAAAAUAAGUUCACAAAAUGCUGUAUCGAAAAAAUAAGACCAAACUAAACGAAUCCAAUCAAACAAGGAGAAGAUGCUCCGGAAGGUAAAAAGAUAUUGCUCCAUGAGUGCAACACCUAAAGACAUUAAUUUACAGUUCGAGUAUGAGGCGAAUCUCGUAUUGGACAAGAAGUUAUGUGUCUUAGAUGUUUGCGAAAACAAAUACC